Molecule: transfer RNA, 69 nt
Filed under: Marmota monax (woodchuck)
Lineage: Eukaryota; Metazoa; Chordata; Mammalia; Rodentia; Sciuridae
Also listed under: 1 other name
Rfam family: tRNA
About the family: Transfer RNA (tRNA) molecules are approximately 80 nucleotides in length. Their secondary structure includes four short double-helical elements and three loops (D, anti-codon, and T loops).
Source: Rfam by way of RNAcentral
GGAGUUGUAGCUCAGUGGUAGAGCACUUGCCUAAGACGUGUGAGGCACUGGGUUUGAUCCUCAGCACCA